Molecule: long non-coding RNA, 1419 nt
Filed under: Homo sapiens (human)
Lineage: Eukaryota; Metazoa; Chordata; Mammalia; Primates; Hominidae
Description: PREDICTED lncRNA (TCONS_00252166)
Source: RNAcentral
GUAGCUUCCACGCGGGCAGGUCCGGAAACUGAGCAUGUCUGCAAGCGCUCAGCGGCGCCGGCAGCAGCGGGGCUAGAGCUGGGCUGCGUCAGGCUGAGCCCAUUCACCUCGCGGCCACAGGAGCUCAGCGCCGGCGCCGCGCCGCCCAGCCCCGCCGAGAGGGGCGCACUCGCCGCCGCGGGGCCCGCCGCCGCUCACCGCAGCCCCCUCCUGGCGACCCGCAAGGUAGCAUUCUUUGCUUAUCCAAUGAUGCCUCUUUCUAACCUCUCCCUCUCCACUUACAUCCCAAACCUGAUGCGGGUCUUCUCUGAUUCGGCACUCUAAGGAGGACUCAGCCGCCGGCUGCGACCACCGUGGACUCCCUCUAUGGAAGGGAAUCCUGGGAGUCCCGGCCGUCAGAGGGGUUCCCAAAUCCAAAGGGUCCAUCUCCAAGGCGUCACUCCAGGGGUCCGCGGUUCACUUUGCUGCCCCUUGCAGGUGAUGCUGUGAUUGUUGCCUGCGGACUGGGAAGCACGAUGGCUCCAAAAGGCCAGCGGGGCCGAGAAGCAGGGACAGAGACCAGCAUUUAAGGGAUCUCUGGUGGGGGCCUCCCUGGAGUUCUCCACAUGUAAAUAUAGCGAAAAAAGAAAACACUACGUUACUAGAAUAAACACGUCCUAAAAUUUCUGUGCAAAAACACCUUUUUGAACAGCAAAGAUUUCACCCACCAAAACAAGGAAGCAAGAAGCUUCCACAGUGUGCAGGAUCCGAAACAGGACCGGCCCGGCGUUGGGUGAGAGUGGGGGAGGGGUUGUCGGCUUCUCCAUCCAGCUUGCCAUGUUCUGUCGUCGGUUUCACAUUUUCAGAGAGACUUUACCAGAUGCAGGAAAUGAGGAUGAAGGCAACUCUGGAAGGAUGCAAAGAAGGGAGAGCAAGCACUGUACCUACUGUCUGCUGUCUAAGAGGGCUGGUCUCAUAACUAAAAGGUCCAGUCCCUGAGAUCUUGUGUGCAACCGUCAGAAAUAGUUCAGGACAUCAAAUUGCACAGAGAAGAUUCAGAUGAAGGGAAACAAGAACUCUGUGGAAAACUGUUGGGGACAGUGGCACGAGUUGUCUUGCAAGGUGAUGUCUGUCCCGUGGAGGGACACAAGAGCGAGGACAGCAUGGUUCUAAUGGCCAGGGCAUGUCUUCUUAUUCCAUGUGACAGUGGCUGGCUGAGUUGCUAGUACGUUUUUGAAAUAUACCCUUUGAAAUAUGUUGAUUAUUCUGGACAUCUGUAAGGUGGGAGAUUUGAAUAAAAAGACUUCUGCUGUCAUUAUUGGCUUUUAUGGCUAUGAUUUUUUUCAGUCAUUAUUAUAAAUCAUGUGAAGGUAAAAUAAAUGAUCAUUUUAGCCAUUCUGUUCUGCACAGAAUGCUGUUCAAAUAAAACAUCAUCUGAUA